AUCCUUUUGUAGUUCAUGAGCAUCAUGAUUGGGUGUUUAUGCACACAUGUGAGAUCUGCCACUCUCUAAACCUUGUUACAACAUUGGCACAUUACCCGUCUAACC
This is a small nucleolar RNA of Macaca fascicularis (crab-eating macaque), 105 nucleotides long. Lineage: Eukaryota; Metazoa; Chordata; Mammalia; Primates; Cercopithecidae. The record is from Ensembl.